This 80-nucleotide non-coding RNA is filed under the name Tessaracoccus bendigoensis. RNAcentral describes it as "Fluoride sequence". It matches the Rfam family "Fluoride riboswitch aptamer (crcB RNA motif)". RNAcentral also lists the same sequence under 1 other name. Lineage: Bacteria; Bacillati; Actinomycetota; Actinomycetes; Propionibacteriales; Propionibacteriaceae. The record is from RNAcentral.
GUUCGACCCGGUGAUGGACCCCGCCGGGGCCGGUUGAUCCGGCCCGAACCGCCUCUUUGGCUGAUGGCUCCUGUCCACCG